UGAAAUCCUUUUCAGUGAGCAAUGCCUAUCUUGAGUUCACAGAAUCUUUCUUUCUUUUUCGUUUUUUCCCACCCAGAUUGAAAUACAAAGGCAGAGGCCCAAUUCAAGUUGACUUUCUGACGAAAUAUGGUAUUUGACAGAACCCUGUAGACUAUAAGGGGGAUAUUUAAAGGAUGGAUCUUGAUGUUAACAGAGGACUCUCAGAGGAGGCCAGCAGGUUUUUUGUUUGGUUUGGGUUUUUUUGUUGUUUUUGUUUUGUUUUGUUUUGUUUUUUGGAGGCCUGAGCUGUAACAUCAUGAUCUGAUUCUAAACUUUACUGACCUUGAGUUACCUUUUUUUUUCCCUGAUAUGUUUCAAUUCCUGAGAAAAGCAAGAGCUGCAAGCCUGACUUAUAAUGUACUCAUUCAAUUAACCACGUGAGAGCAAAUCAAACCUUUCCAGGCAAUUUUGUUUGAAGUGUCUGCACUCUUCUCUGCAUCGUAUGAGGUGCCAACACCAGUGGGAGUUUGCCUGCGAUGGAUACUGAAUAUACGUGUCCCUUGUGUGGCCAGAAAAUUUUUGGGCAAUGCUGUUCACCACUGUGAAGACCAACCUGAAAACCUGGAUGUUAGGAAUAGUUCCUGAGCCUGUGGGCAAGGCUGGCUAGAUGAUCCUCUGCAUGGAUACUUGCACUCAAGUGUGUUGUCUUUCAUCAGGUCUGCAGGGAACAACAGUACUGAGACUUGUCAAGUCUGCUGCCCCUUCAUCUCUGUCUUUCCCAGUUUUGGACUAUGUAGCCCCUUCCCAAAGUUUCCUAAAAAAGAAAGAAGGAUGAAAGAUCAUGAAAAAAAUGAAAGAUUAUGAAAAAAAUGAACAGACGGAAGUUCUUCACGUGCAUCAAUGAGCUAUUAAAAGUGAAAUUCACAUUUGCUAUCUCUUUUGAGUGAGGCUUUGAAGCAGAAUGUAGCUCCCAAAGGCAUAUCUUCCCCCAGGAAAGGAUGUGAGGCAGCAAUGGUGGUGCUUGAAAACAACAGUUUGGGAUUGCUAAUGGUUUACAGCAGCAGCCUGAUGACGUACUUUUGCUGGAAGACCAGCUCUCUGAACUGCAGGAAUAAAAAGCAGAGCUUGGCAUCUGAGAGCAAGUGUGAUCUAUGAGAUGAAGUGACCCAGCCCAGGAUAUCUCCUGCUUAUUCCCUGCAACCUGGCAUUGAAUCUUCAUGUCUGACUCUUCCUGUGUUUGAAACAAACUCUUAUUUUUUUAUAGAUCUACUCAAGCACCACAUAUGCAUUUGACUGUAACCCCGCAUGAGGCUGAAUGUGGAUGUGAGAAAGAUGGAGGGGGAUGUGAUUUGGCCACCUGAGGAUCUUUCACCUGGCUUUGUGGAGAUUUCAGCUGGUUUUGAGGGCCAUAUCCUGUUCCAGCUGUAUCUGCACAAGAAAUAAUUUUAUCAUAGCUGAAAAGCCAAAUGCAAAUGCUGGUGCUUUUGGUGCUUUAUAGUGCUGAGACUGCUUCAGGAGAACAUUGGUGGGGAAGUUUGCCUGUGAAUCUUCUAAAAAGCUGAAGAUGAGCAGCGCAGACAACACAUCCGCGGUGCAAAGCUUUGGAGAGGCGUUUCACGGCGGAACACCAUGAGCGUUGACCUAAGACGCCGCUUUCUGCUCCGCAGGCCGAGUCCUCCGGAACUCCGGCUUGCCUGCUCCCAGGAGAGGGCAGUGGAGCCGCACACGCUCCGUGCCGCGGCCGCUGGGCCGCUCGGUUCCUGCGGGGCUGCGCGAGGCAUGCAUCCUAAGACAACAAGGAGCCUUGGCUGAAAACAGCAGAAUGUGGUUUUAAGCUACGCUCCUGUCUCGCCUGCAUUCUGCAGUGACUGGAGGAGCACUGAAACUGGAACAUCACCAAAGGCAGUGAAACAAAAACUGAGCAAUUGAGACAGCCUUUCUCAGCUGGGCGCAAGGUGCUGCAGGACUGGAGCGGAGCCUGUGAGGCAGAUGACAGCACUUAGGACCACCACAGAGAGGUCGUACAGAAAGAGGUGGUGUGCAAGGAAAAUAAGAAACGGGAGCAGAAACGGCGCUGACGACGGGGCAGCGGCUGCGCUCAACGCCAUGGGCUGACUCAGGACAGAGAG
Molecule: long non-coding RNA, 2108 nt
Organism: Centrocercus urophasianus (Greater sage-grouse)
Lineage: Eukaryota; Metazoa; Chordata; Aves; Galliformes; Phasianidae
Exons: 12
Source: RefSeq, a predicted model, not a curated record